This 253-nucleotide ribosomal RNA is filed under the name uncultured bacterium. Its description in RNAcentral is "partial 16S ribosomal RNA". It matches the Rfam family "Bacterial small subunit ribosomal RNA", at positions 524 to 776 of the family's 1533-position model. The record is from RNAcentral.
GACGUAGGGCGCGAGCGUUGUCCGGAUUUAUUGGGCGUAAAGAGCUCGUAGGCGGCCAACUAAGUCAGACGUGAAAUCCCCAGGCUCAACCUGGGAACUGCGUCUGAUACUGGAUGGCUUGAAUCCGGGAGAGGGAUGCAGAAUUCCAGGUGUAGCGGUGAAAUGCGUAGAUAUCUGGAGGAAUACCGGUGGCGAAGGCGGCCUGCUGGGCAGUGGCUGACACUGAGGCGCGACAGCGUGGGGAGCAAACAGG